CGGGUGAGUAAUAUAUAGUUAAUGUACCUUCAAGACCGGGAUAGCCAUUGGAAACGAUGAUUAAUACUGGAUAUACCUUCUAUACCUAAGUGUAGUCGGGAAAUGUUUUUUCGCUUGAAGAUCAGACUAUAUCCCAUCAGCUUGUUGGUGAGGUAAGAGCUCACCAAGGCAAUGACGGGUAGCGGGUUUGAGAGGAUGAUCCGCCACACUGGUACUGAGACACGGACCAG
Molecule: ribosomal RNA, 230 nt
Filed under: uncultured bacterium
Lineage: Bacteria
Description: partial 16S ribosomal RNA
Rfam family: Bacterial small subunit ribosomal RNA
Source: RNAcentral